AACGAACGCUGGCGGCAUGCCUAACACAUGCAAGUCGAACGAGACCUUCGGGUCUAGUGGCGCACGGGUGCGUAACGCGUGGGAACCUGCCCUUAGGUUCGGCAUAACUCCCCGAAAGGGGUGCUAAUACCGGAUAAUAUCUUCGAACACAAGAUGUAUCGCCUUUGGAUGGGCCCGCGUUGGAUUGGCUAGUUGGUAGGGUAAAAGCCUACCAAGGCGACGAUCCAUAGCUGGUCUGAGAGGAAGACCAGCCACACUGGGACUGAGACACGGCCCAGACUCCUACGGGAGGCAGCAGUGGGGAAUAUUGGAGAAUGGGCGAAAGCCUGAUCCAGCAAUGCCGGGUGAGUGAUGAAGGCCUUAGGGUUGUAAAGCUCGUUUAACCGGGAUGAUAAUGACAGUACCGGGAGAAUAAGCCCCGGCUAACUACGUG
Molecule: ribosomal RNA, 433 nt
Filed under: uncultured bacterium
Lineage: Bacteria
Description: partial 16S ribosomal RNA
Rfam family: Bacterial small subunit ribosomal RNA
Source: RNAcentral